UGUAAAUGUGCUUGCCGUUUCUAUUAUUUUUUCCAUCACUGUACAUUGAGCGCGAUUCGUAUGUAAGCAAUUGUAAGUAUGUAUUUACAUAUGCGACGAUAGAAAGUAGGAGAGAUUGCGAAGGAAAUUACCAAUUAGGUACGGUGGGCAGUGCAAACAACGAACAACUAACAGAAUUUACUAUUGACUAUUGAUUACUCUCUAACGUUAGGCUAGCAAACUAAACAGUGUUAUGCUGUGUAUAACAUCUACGCAGGUGACGAAUCGUGGAUAUAUAAAUAUGAGCCCGAACAAAUUAGUUAUCGACGGUAUGGAUGUUUAAAAGCGACCCAAAUGCAACAACCAUUUCAAAUCGCCUGUUUUGUCGGAAGCUAGUCAACAGCAGCUGGUCAUAUCGCAAAUUUUCGAUAGAGAAAAGCAGGAAGAUAAAUUCUGAGUGGUAAAUAACCAUUUUUUGGCCGGAAAUUAUAGAAGAAUCGAGAGUUGUUGAGCAUCCAAAAUAUAGCAUCAAGAGGUCAUCUGCCUUGCUGACUUGUCCUGACAUCUAACAGGAUAUUUUUAUUCCAAGCUAUACAAAAAAUAGAGUUUUCAACGUUUUUUACGUCGCACAGUGCCUCGUUUUCCUGUUGCAAAAUUAAUAUUAAUAUUAAUAGCUUAGAUCCAUAUAUUUUCAAAACUUCAAAUAAAUUUAAAAAAAUAUUAAAGUAGGUGUGGCGCUGGAAUGGUCGUAGUUAAUGGUCGAACUCAAAUCGUGUUUUUUUACCCUAAAAAUAUAAAUAAAAUUAUACAUAGACAAACAACAUUUUUUUGCAUGUAACAAAUCUUAAUUUUGUAUAAAAAAAAUGUCUUAAAGAAAAUUAUUUACGUUGCAUUUCUUGAGCGGACAGCACGUAAAGUUAACGUACAAACUAGGGCAAAUAAAAACCUUGAAGAACUGUUCUGCAAUCAAUAGAGAUGCAAUCGAAGCGUUUUUAAAAACUGUGCAAGAUAUCCUUCCCAGCAAAUGGCUAACACCUACAGUUCAUAAGAAAAGCGACAAAACGAAGAUUUUUUUAAAAUUAGUAUAUUCGUGUAAAAUGGUUUCCCCAUUUGAAAAUAAGGAAAAUUGCUUUGUUAAAUAUUAAAAUAUUAAAUUAAAUGCAUAUAUGUAUAUUUCUAGUAAGGGCGGUGGCUUGGCUAAUCCUAAAAUUUACGUAUUUGUACCUUAUGAAUGUGAUUCUUAAUUGUUAGCUAGUUUGAAUUUGAAACAAAGAAUAUAUUGAGCAACA
Drosophila obscura is the source of this 1268-nucleotide long non-coding RNA. RefSeq lists it as uncharacterized. The record is from RefSeq and is a predicted model, not a curated record. The transcript has 2 exons. NCBI's taxonomy places the organism in Eukaryota, Metazoa, Arthropoda, Insecta, Diptera, Drosophilidae.